RNAcentral lists this non-coding RNA (31 nucleotides) under Mus musculus (house mouse). Lineage: Eukaryota; Metazoa; Chordata; Mammalia; Rodentia; Muridae. RNAcentral also lists the same sequence under 1 other name. The record is from RNAcentral.
GACAUUUUCAUACAUGUAUAUAAUGUAUUUU